GGUUUUUUAAUUUGGGUUGGUCUUGUAGCUAGACUGGACUUUUAAUAUUUUUAUUUAUUUUUUCUAUUUGGUUUUUGUCUAGGCCUGGACGAAAUUGGGCUUUCACAGGUAGAAUUAUAUUUUUAUAUCUGUUUUGUCUUGAUAUGUUCUGCUUUUGAUAUAAAUAUCUUUCUGAAUGAUUUCUGUUAAUAACAUAAUAUGUUACAAACUGAGUUUUGAAACUCACUUUCUGUUUCUAUGUUAUUCAAGGUAACCCUCAAACUUAGGCGGAUUGAUG
Molecule: long non-coding RNA, 277 nt
Filed under: Gossypium raimondii (Peruvian cotton)
Lineage: Eukaryota; Viridiplantae; Streptophyta; Magnoliopsida; Malvales; Malvaceae
Description: long non-coding RNA (GRAI_LNC002344)
Source: RNAcentral